UUUCUUUUCUUCUUCUCUCUAUACGUUGGUGUUCUAACCAAUAAUCACCGAUGCGAUGUUCUGUCCGAUCGAUUCAGGAACCAACUAACGGAUGCCAAAGUGCUAUACUUUGAGAGUUCGUUAAACGGAUGCCAAAGUACUAUACUUUGAGAGUUCGUUAAACGGAUGCCAAAGUACUAUACUUUGUGAUUUCGGUAAACGGAAUCCAAAGUGUUACACUUUGUGAAAUUCAUUAAGGUUCGAAUCUCGUGACUACCGUUAAGGUUUGAUUUGGGUUUUACACAAAUACGUAUUCCAUUCUGUUAAACUAUAUGUUUAACUACCAAAAAUACUCCCAACUACACACUCACAAUCAAACAAACUAUUAAAACAUCAGAAGAUCCAGAAUAAUAAAGUGCAUGCUUAAUUAUCGGAAGAAGUAGAAUCAAGAAGCUUGUUAACUCAAUCUUGCAUGCUUAUAAAGUAAUUACAGUAGAUUAGAGUAAGGAUUGGAUCC
RNAcentral lists this long non-coding RNA (496 nucleotides) under Helianthus annuus (common sunflower). RNAcentral describes it as "sRNA HanXRQr2_Chr17g0820201". The record is from RNAcentral. Lineage: Eukaryota; Viridiplantae; Streptophyta; Magnoliopsida; Asterales; Asteraceae.